GCGAGGAGCGAGCAGAGGAGCAGCCCGUGGGCGGCUGGCGGCGGCGGCUGCAGGGGGGGCCCGCGGCUGGCCGGCUGCGUGUUGCCCUGGGCAGCCCCGAGCCCCGGAGGCGCAGGGGCGGGCUCGGUGCGGUGGCGAUGCCCCGGGGACGCUCCGCUGGUGCAGCUCAGCCGCGCUGACGCGUCUCCUCCUCGUCCUCACCAUGGACAGCUUCGACUUCGCUCUGCUCCAGGAAUGGGACCUGGACUCCCUCUGUGUCUAUGAACCAGACAGAAAUGUUCUGCGGAGAAAAGAAUGGGAGAGGAGAAAUCAGGAGGCACAACAGGAAGAUGGUUCGUUUAAUACCAGUUAUUCCCUCUUCAGUGAACCGUACAAGACUAACAAGGGGGAUGAGCUCUCAAAUCGUAUCCAGAAUACAUUAGGCAACUAUGAUGAAAUGAAGGACUUAUUGACGGAUCGAUCCAACCAGAGUCAUCUUGUUGGAGUUCCAAAACCUGGGAUUCAACAGGCACCUGUGAACAAAACUGAUGAACAUUUUAUUGUAGAUUCAAGACCACAGUCUCAGCCUUCCAUCUGCAGCACUUCAUCAUCCAUACCAGCAGCUCUAUCUGGUCAGCAAAGCAAGAGCCCCACAAUGGGUUGGCAGAAAGCUGGGCACAAUGCUUCUGAUGGCCAGCAGAGGGCAAGCAAGCAAGGGCACAGAUUGCUUGAGUCACACAACAGUGACUUCAAAAUGGCUAACCAAAAAACCAGUCUGGAAAAGCUUAAACACUUUGCAUCGAGUCCCACAUCGUCAUCUGUCAGUGCUGCAAAACAAGGUACUUUAAGAUCUGUGCUUGGAGACAGUGUCAGCAAAGCACAACAGCAGUCCAAAUUAAAUUGCAGUUUAGAAGCGGGAUCUCAGGCUCAAGAAAGGCCAGCAAAACACAGCACUGGGCACUGUGUUCAGAACUUCCCUCCUUCACUUGCUUCAAAGCCUAAUAUAAUUCAACAGAAACCAACGGCUUAUGUAAGACCAAUGGAUGGUCAAGAUCAGACUCCUGAUGAGUCUCCAAAGCUAAAGUUAUCGGCAGAAGCUAACAAGCACUGUACAUCAUAUAGGGGAGUGCCUUCUAAUAAGCCUGACCCAGCUAUGGCCAAGACCAAGAUGGCAACAUUUAACGUUCCCAAGCAAGAAGAGGAGAGUGGAACAGGAGAUAACAGCUGUAUUGAAGAAAUUUUGCGGGAGAUGACCCAUUCUUGGCCUCCACCACUCUCAGCUAUUCACACACCUGGAAAAGUGGAACAGAACAAGUUUCCAUUUGCAAACAAGGAGUCGCAGCAGGUGUCUACAGGACACAGCAAUCCAAGGAAAGGUGAGGCUGAGCCAAAGAAUCCAGAAAACAGUGCAUCACAUACAUCAAUGCUAGAAGAUGACCUCAAGUUAAGUAGUGAUGAAGAAGAGAAUGAUCAGCAGGCAGCACAGAGAUCUGCUCUCCGCAUUCUGUCUGACAGCACUGUCGUGCCGCAGCCCAGUAGCAGAACCUCGGGACUCUCCAGCAAGAGGUCAAGUAGCAGCAGCUCCAGUGAAUCCGAGAGCAGUUCCGAAUCUGACUCAGAGAGUGAAAGCAGUUCCAGUGAGAGUGACGGCAGCAAGCCCUCUCAUUACUCCAGCCCAGAGCCUGAGCAGCCAUCAUCAAACAAGUGGCAGUUGGAUAAAUGGCUAAAUAAAGUUAAUCCUCACAAAACAUCUAUUCUUAACCAAAAUGAUAACCAUGGACUGGAGAGCAAUCAGUAUUACAGCAGAAUAAAGGAUGAAGGACAGGAGUGUGAGAAAACAGCAGCUAUUUGCCAAACUGAACUUAGAGAAAAGGAAAUUAAGAACCCCAGCAAAGAGGAGUUGAGACCUAGAACUGCUAAUAAAGCACCAGGAAAUAAAGGAGGGAAGCAGAAAUCACCUCCUACGGCUGCUGCUGUUUCUGGAGACAGCGGCCCUCAGAGAAGGACGACUUGUAAAAAACAGCCAAGAAGAACAGAGAGGACCUCUGGUGGGGAUGCCUUGAACUGCCAUGCAUCUGAGGAUCUCGCUUUGAGCCAAGUAUUUUUGGAAAAUAACAUCUGUGAACAACCUAAAGCCAGGCCCUGCAACAACAGAACUGGGCACAGAAAAGAGCCCCGCUCUGUCGCUGCAUGUGAAAAGAGACGUACCAGAGGGCCAAGCAAAACUGCACCCAAAUCCAAGGAAUUUAUCGAGACAGAGUCUUCGUCUUCAUCGUCUUCCUCAGCUUCAGAUUCAGAAUCCGAACAAGAGGAAUAUCCUCUGCCCAAACCUCAAACUGUGGCCUCUGCUUCAGGUGGGAGUGAUCAGAGGUUGAAGGACUCCGUGAGCAGUAACACCAACAAAACUAACAGCAGCUGCAGUGCCUUUGGCUCCAUUAAUGCCAGGACUAGUAAUGAUAUAGCAAAGGAGCUGGAGGAACAGUUUUAUACUCUAGUUCCUUUUGGCAGGAACGAGCUCCUGUCUCCUCUGAAAGACACUGAUGAGGUAAAAUCACUGUGGGUCAAAAUUGAUUUGACUCUUUUGUCCAGAAUUCCAGAGCGUUUACCAGAGGAGCCACUGGCAAUGAGCACUGGAGCAAAAGAAGAAGCCAGCCUUCAGCAGAAUAAUUGUACUUACCCACCAGCAGAAAAGGUUGUGCCAAAAUCUAGAAGGAAACGCAAGUGUGAAAAUGAAGAAGAAGACAGGGAGAUCAAGAAGACUCAUUUAGAGCGAGAGUGUUCUUCACGAUUAAUUGCCUCUGCCCCAGGUAUUUCAACAGCAAAUCAUUGCAACAGGAAUGAACAUAGCUUGGCGAUACCAAUAAAUAAAAAUGAGAAAAUGCUUCGGUCACCCAUCUCACCCCUCUCUGAUGCAUCAAAACACAAAUACUCCACUGAUGAUUUAACUUCUUCCAGUAGACCUAAUGGCAGCAGUCUAUUACCUUCCAUGUCCUCCAGCAAAAAACAUAAGAGUGAAAUCCAGCCACAGCCACAUCCUGCAGACUGCAAUAAAGCAGUUCACAUCAAUUCAGAAAGUGUUCUCUGCAACAAGCCACACUCCCAAACAGAGCCUUGGCCAUCUUUAUCCAGGGCACACAAAGACUGCAGAAGAACAAAGCUCAUCUUUGAUGAUAUACCACGCAAUGCAGAUCACUUUAUGCAAGAAGCUAAACGGAAGAAGCAUAAAGCAGACGCGAUGGUGGAAAAAUUUGGAAAGGCACUGAAUUACGCUGAAGCAGCAUUAUCAUUUAUUGAAUGUGGAAAUGCUAUGGAACAAGGCCCCAUGGAAUCUAAAUCCCCUUAUACAAUGUAUUCAGAAACAGUUGAACUUAUCAGGUAUGCUGUGAGACUAAAAACCCACGCAGGCCCUAAUGCCACUCCAGAGGACAAACAGCUAGCAGCAUUAUGUUAUCGCUGUUUGGCACUUCUAUACUGGAGAAUGUUCCGACUCAAAAGAGACCAUGCUGUAAAGUAUUCAAAAGCACUUAUUGAUUAUUUCAAGAAUUCAUCAAAAGCUGCCCAGGCUCCAUCUCCGUGGGGUGCCAGUGGAAAGAGCACAGGAACUCCAUCCCCCAUAUCUCCUAGCCCUUCUCCUGUCAGCUCUGUAGGAUCCCAGGGGAGCACCAGUGCCCCUUCCCCCUCUUCCACUAUCAGCAUUCCACAGCGUAUUCAUCAGAUGGCAGCCAAUCACGUCAGUAUUACCAACAGCAUCCUGCACAGCUAUGACUACUGGGAGAUGGCUGACAAUCUAGCCAAGGAAAAUAGAGAGUUUUUUAAUGAGUUGGAUGCAUUGAUGGGACCUGUCACCCUACACAGCAGUAUGGAGCAUUUAGUUCAGUACACUCAACAAGGACUUCACUGGGUACGGAAUAGUGCUCACGCAAAAGACUGUAUGCCAUUCAAAUGAACUGCAUAAUCUCCCAUGGACAAUUCAGUUAUUCUGGACACUGUGCUACAGAAAUAAUCAACCAUAGCAUCCAAACAAAGAGAUUCCAUCUCAAUCUUUCAGAGGUGAAGAUGUCAACUUGUUCAAAUCCAGCUCAAAAGCAAGAUUAUGCCUGGAGGGAGAGGUUUGGUAUAAAACAGAAACUUCUGAAUGUGACAAACAGCUAGUCUACCAGCUGACGAGUACAUGCAGGCAUGGGAAAUCAACUGGAAUAUUAUCAAAUAAAAUGUGUGCCACAGUUGGACACAAAGGCAAUACAGUGAGGUUUUUUGCAUUAAAAAUGCUGUGAGAUACUCUGAGAUGUUCACAAACACCUAGUCAGUGAGAUAUUCAGACACACUUAGGCCUUGAUCCUGUAAGAUGUGCAGCAAGGAGUGCAAGGGUGAGUGGAAGAGAUGUAUAGUUUCAAGUAUGGCUGACCACUGAGCAUAGGCACCUAUACUGUGGGGCGGCAAAUCCCAGGCCCCUUCCACAGCCCUUUCCUUAUUCUAAAUCUCACAGGGUUUAACGGGAAGGGGUGUAGGCAGAUGUUGGGCAUGUGAGGAGACAUGAUAUUCAGUGUAGGCCCAGAUCCUCCAAGGUAUUUAGGCACCUAACUCCCAUGUAUUUCAAUGGAAGUUACGUGCCUAGUAUCUUGGAGGAUCUGGGCGGUAUCCCUCAGCACGCAACACUGGUGCUCAGUUAUGCGCUCCUUGUCUGAGCUUUACUUCUGCUACUGGGAGUAACUUGGCAGCCUGGAAAGUAGUAAUCUCAUUAAUGCAGAAUCAGAUUCCCUGCUCUCCCGGUACAGCUCAUCACUUUUUACCUUUCACUCCCACAUGCAGCAGGCUUCACCUGCACUGUGCAGGAUCAAGCCCUCAGUGUACGUAUGCACACGUGUCUAUAUCUAAAUCAUGAAAAAGUUCAGUCAGCACAAAGGAUAUUACCUGUGCCUCCCAUUGCUCAUUGAGUACAUGUCACUGAAUGGCCAUAUCACCUCAGAAGAGCAGUAAUUGUUAUCAAGGUAAUAUGUGCAGCUAAUUAAUGUGUAAGACUCUCACCUUGGGAAUGGUGCAGUCGUAUAUCUUUCAUAAUACCAAUUUUCACCCAUUUUUCAUGGCUCUGAUAUAAAUCUGCAUAACUAAAAUGUCAGGAUUUUUUUAAAAAAGAAGACAUACACUUAGACCUGGCUAAUCUGUGCUUAGUUUAUCUACUCAAGAGACUUUACUAGACACCAGCCUUAAUGCCUAUACGGUAUAUACUAUUGAGUGACUUAGUCGCAGUGUUUAAGCCAAAUGAAAUUGGAAUUAGCAA
RNA transcript from Mauremys reevesii (Reeves's turtle), 5257 nucleotides. It is a transcript of the gene named AF4/FMR2 family member 3, with no coding region annotated. The transcript is spliced from 22 exons. The record is from RefSeq and is a predicted model, not a curated record. Lineage: Eukaryota; Metazoa; Chordata; Testudines; Geoemydidae.